CCAGAAAAUUCCCCACUUUAGUUGGAAGCAGUCAGCGGAGAGCGAGCGACCGAUCGGAGAAGCUGCGGAGAAAUUGAGGACAAGGAGAGUGCGCGGGAAGUGGGCAUGGUGAGGAGUUAGAGGAGCAUGAGGAAUAAGUCGACGCCUAGGCCAGGGUGUCAAAAUUAGCAGUCUUUGUUUAAUCCUUAAAUAAAGUCAGUGAAGAAUAAGAGGAAGUGCUAUCAAUACAUGUGCAUAUGCACGUGGUUGAACACUUGGCCUACUAUCUAUUAUUUGGUUAAGUGAGGGUGUAAGCUAUUAUGUAAAGAAUAAGCUGGAAUUAAAGUAUUACUUGUGCCC
This 339-nucleotide ribosomal RNA is filed under the name Triticum aestivum (bread wheat). Its description in RNAcentral is "partial small subunit ribosomal RNA". Lineage: Eukaryota; Viridiplantae; Streptophyta; Magnoliopsida; Poales; Poaceae. The record is from RNAcentral.